This is a long non-coding RNA of Panicum virgatum (switchgrass), 569 nucleotides long. RefSeq lists it as uncharacterized. The transcript has 2 exons. The record is from RefSeq and is a predicted model, not a curated record. NCBI's taxonomy places the organism in Eukaryota, Viridiplantae, Streptophyta, Magnoliopsida, Poales, Poaceae.
GCGUUUGGUCCACAGGCCUCUGGUGCGCGAACUUCAAGUGCACGUGGCCCUACUUCCAGCAUACGGACACCGAUUCACUACGGUGCCACAACCGCUACAACUCCUGGGCAUUCCGGUUCGAGAAGCCGUUCAAGGACCACUUCCAGGACUGGUUCACGUGCCUUGUCAAGGGGCAAAGCUAUCCAGUCAUCCGAAGGCAGUGAAGAGUCCGACCGCCAAGGCGACUCAGAAGAUGAGGACCCAAGCUUUCAGGUGCUUAGGAUGUCGCAGAUGUUUGAUGCUCCCCUAGGAACGCAGACUCAGGGUGAAUCGAGUCAGGCACCUCAGGAUGCACCCGCUUCUCCUCCGCGUCGCCGACAAAGGCGUUCUCGUGACCACACCGAUGUUGGUAGCGUGAACGUGCUCCCAACAGCUCCUGGAAGGCAACUGCGCCCCACCGACCCUUUCAGCCCUGCCGAGCGUGGACGGCGCCGUAGAUGAAGGAGCACGGACACUUUGUUCCUAGAUGUAUUGUAAAAAUGCUACCUAGAACCUAUUUGUGCUUGUCAUGAACUAUUUUUGCUUCUCAU